CUACACAUGCAGUCGAGCGGAUGAGAAGAGCUUGCUCUUCGAUUCAGCGGCGGACGGGUGAGUAAUGCCUAGGAAUCUGCCUGGUAGUGGGGGACAACGUUUCGAAAGGAACGCUAAUACCGCAUACGUCCUACGGGAGAAAGCAGGGGACCUUCGGGCCUUGCGCUAUCAGAUGAGCCUAGGUCGGAUUAGCUAGUUGGUGAGGUAAUGGCUCACCAAGGCGACGAUCCGUAACUGGUCUGAGAGGAUGAUCAGUCACACUGGAACUGAGACACGGUCCAGACUCCUACGGGAGGCAGCAGUGGGGAAUAUUGGACAAUGGGCGAAAGCCUGAUCCAGCCAUGCCGCGUGUGUGAAGAAGGUCUUCGGAUUGUAAAGCACUUUAAGUUGGGAGGAAGGGCAUUAACCUAAUACGUUAGUGUUUUGACGUUACCGACAGAAUAAGCACCGGCUAACUCUGUGCCAGCAGCCGCGGUAAUACAGAGGGUGCAAGCGUUAAUCGGAAUUACUGGGCGUAAAGCGCGCGUAGGUGGUUUGUUAAGUUGGAUGUGAAAGCCCCG
Molecule: ribosomal RNA, 560 nt
Filed under: bacterium amp-w-6
Lineage: Bacteria
Description: bacterial SSU rRNA
Rfam family: Bacterial small subunit ribosomal RNA
Source: RNAcentral